RNAcentral lists this ribosomal RNA (301 nucleotides) under uncultured bacterium. RNAcentral's name for it is "partial 16S ribosomal RNA". It matches the Rfam family "Bacterial small subunit ribosomal RNA", at positions 509 to 807 of the family's 1533-position model. The record is from RNAcentral.
CAGUAGCCGCGGGAAUACGUAGGGUGCGAGCGUUAAUCGGAAUUACUGGGCGUAAAGCGUGCGCAGGCGGUUGUGUAAGACAGGUGUGAAAUCCCCGGGCUCAACCUAGGAACUGCGCUUGUGACUGCACAGCUAGAGUAUGGCAGAGGGGGGUGGAAUUCCACGUGUAGCAGUGAAAUGCGUAGAGACGUGGAGGAACACCGAUGGCGAAGGCAGCCCCCUGGGCCAAUACUGAUGCUCAUGCACGAAAGCGUGGGGAGCAAACAGGAUUAGAUACCCCGGUAGUCCCUGUCUCUUAUAC